Molecule: ribosomal RNA, 465 nt
Filed under: Vreelandella stevensii
Lineage: Bacteria; Pseudomonadati; Pseudomonadota; Gammaproteobacteria; Oceanospirillales; Halomonadaceae
Description: partial 16S ribosomal RNA
Rfam family: Bacterial small subunit ribosomal RNA
Source: RNAcentral
CCUACGUGGGGCUGCAGUGGGGAAUAUUGGACAAUGGGGGGAACCCUGAUCCAGCCAUGCCGCGUGUGUGAAGAAGGCCCUCGGGUUGUAAAGCACUUUCAGUGAGGAAGAACGCCUGGUGGUUAAUACCCAUCAGGAAAGACAUCACUCACAGAAGAAGCACCGGCUAACUCCGUGCCAGCAGCCGCGGUAAUACGGAGGGUGCGAGCGUUAAUCGGAAUUACUGGGCGUAAAGCGCGCGUAGGUGGCUUGAUAAGCCGGUUGUGAAAGCCCCGGGCUCAACCUGGGAACGGCAUCCGGAACUGUCAAGCUAGAGUGCAGGAGAGGAAGGUAGAAUUCCCGGUGUAGCGGUGAAAUGCGUAGAGAUCGGGAGGAAUACCAGUGGCGAAGGCGGCCUUCUGGACUGACACUGACACUGAGGUGCGAAAGCGUGGGUAGCAAACAGGAUUAGAUACCCCAGUAGUC